Molecule: non-coding RNA, 449 nt
Organism: Vicia faba (fava bean)
Lineage: Eukaryota; Viridiplantae; Streptophyta; Magnoliopsida; Fabales; Fabaceae
Source: the annotation of a GenBank genome assembly
AUGGGCUGACAAAGAAGAAGGACUUAUCGCAAUCUCAGGUACAACGGCUAGUUGGAAAGCCUUUCAAUUCAAGCCAAUCUCUUGAUUCACAUGAAUGUGAAACCAUUGCAACCGAUCAUGCAUACCAAUCAUCCGCCGCUUACAGUUCUGGCACUAAGCCAAGGUUUCUAUGGAUUCAGUCCUGUGGAAAAAUACAUAUUUAUUUUAGGGAAAUUCAGUUAGUAGUUUCACCGGGAAAUCCUUGGGACACUAGCGAGUCCGUCCUUAAAAGCCCUAAAAAUUGGGUACAUGAAGCUUUAGAUACUCCAAGUUGGGCAAGCUUGGAUGCCCCUACUCCCAACAAGUUGCUGGUCGGGAUCGUGAAACUAUCGUUGUUUGGUCAUAAGGAUAAUAGUUCUUAUCUUAUUAGGUCAGGGGCGGGCGGCCCGGGGGUUACCCGCGAUUGGUAA